Brassica napus (rape) is the source of this 789-nucleotide long non-coding RNA. RefSeq lists it as uncharacterized. The transcript is spliced from 3 exons. Lineage: Eukaryota; Viridiplantae; Streptophyta; Magnoliopsida; Brassicales; Brassicaceae. The record is from RefSeq and is a predicted model, not a curated record.
GAGUUAAGAAGUCAACUGACUGCCGAAAAGAAAAAACGAGGGUCAUCUGAACUGAAGGUGUCGGCCGCUGCCAUUGGAACGUGUGAUCACUCGCCUAUCGUGCGCGUAUUAAAAAUAUUAAUAUGGAAGCCCGUUUGCUACGAGGCCCAUGUAGUUUUAAAUUAGUGACUAUCUUUGUGUUGAGUGGGGAAGGAAAUCAAACUUUUUUUCUUUUUUCUUUUUUCUUUUAGAAAGUCUAUGUCUCAAAAAAGUUUUUAACUAUUCGUCUCAAGAUGAAUUUAACCAACGAUGCGAGCGAACACAAAAAAAAACGAUGCGAGCGAGCGUGGCCGCCUCUCGUCUUUCCGAUGAUAGGAAGCUGUUUCGUGUUCUCCCAACUAUACAGAGUUGGAUUGGCUCUACGUGGAGAAAUUCUGGGAAUCUUUAGGAUUUUGUUGCAGCAGACUUAUAUAAGAAAUAAAAGCUGAUUCAAGAAGAAUAUACGAGAGAUCGGAGAAAAUUUUGGACAUAUAUGCUCUACUUGGCGAAGGUUGAAGACGAUGGAUGACAAAAGUGAUGCAAAACGUGUGACAAUUAGAAAGUGAAAUAAUUAUUUACUUUAUAGUAGUCCUUAACAAUUAGGGACUUUUUAACACAUUCUUAGCAACAUAGCCGUUUAAAAUCUACACCAAAAAUUAGGACCUUGAUCUUUGAUGCUGAAAAUCUACACCAUUUAAGUGGUGAAUGUGGGUAAGUCACAUCAUGUGUUAACUCAUAAAUAAUUUUUAGUUUUAAAACAAUUUUCUAAAA